This 763-nucleotide ribosomal RNA is filed under the name uncultured Streptococcus sp. RNAcentral's name for it is "bacterial SSU rRNA". It matches the Rfam family "Bacterial small subunit ribosomal RNA", at positions 28 to 776 of the family's 1533-position model. Lineage: Bacteria; Bacillati; Bacillota; Bacilli; Lactobacillales; Streptococcaceae. The record is from RNAcentral.
GAUGAACGCUGGCGGCGUGCCUAAUACAUGCAAGUAGAACGCUGAAGGAGGAGCUUGCUCUUCUGGAAGAGUUGCGAACGGGUGAGUAACGCGUAGGUAACCUGCCUCUUAGCGGGGGAUAACUAUUGGAAACGAUAGCUAAUACCGCAUAAAAGUCGACAUUGCAUGAUGUUGACUUGAAAGGUGCAACUGCAUCACUAAGAGAUGGACCUGCGUUGUAUUAGCUAGUUGGUGAGGUAACGGCUCACCAAGGCGACGAUACAUAGCCGACCUGAGAGGGUGAUCGGCCACACUGGGACUGAGACACGGCCCAGACUCCUACGGGAGGCAGCAGUAGGGAAUCUUCGGCAAUGGGGGCAACCCUGACCGAGCAACGCCGCGUGAGUGAAGAAGGUUUUCGGAUCGUAAAGCUCUGUUGUAAGAGAAGAACGAGUGUGAGAGUGGAAAGUUCACGCUGUGACGGUAUCUUACCAGAAAGGGACGGCUAACUACGUGCCAGCAGCCGCGGUAAUACGUAGGUCCCGAGCGUUAUCCGGAUUUAUUGGGCGUAAAGCGAGCGCAGGCGGUUAGAUAAGUCUGAAGUUAAAGGCUGUGGCUUAACCAUAGUACGCUUUGGAAACUGUUUAACUUGAGUGCAGAAGGGGAGAGUGGAAUUCCAUGUGUAGCGGUGAAAUGCGUAGAUAUAUGGAGGAACACCGGUGGCGAAAGCGGCUCUCUGGUCUGUAACUGACGCUGAGGCUCGAAAGCGUGGGGAGCAAACAGG